GGGAAGGGAAGAUUUUUGUUUGGGAUUGCAGUCAAGCCCUCCUGUUCUUGUUGCGAGGUUGUCUCAUGCUCAAUCAAAAUCGCCUAUUAGACAAACUGCUAUGUCUUAUGACGGAAGCACUAUUUUGAGCUGCUGUGAGGACGGGACCAUAUGGCGUUGGGAUGCUGUUACGAAUUCCAUAACCUAGCUGGUUUUUAUGCGAUUCGAUCUUGUGAGCUCCGAAAGAGCUCCAAUUUGAAGAUUUGUUAUAACUAGUCAUCGACAAGAGGAACAUGGUUUACUUUUGCAUAGAUUAAUGCUUGUUUAGUUUUAUGUCAGAUUGCAAAACUGAUUGAGUUUAUGGUGUAACCUAACCUGUGACUUGAGUGAUAUCAGGAUAGAGUCAGAUGGUUACCGGGAUGUUGGCAUCAUGUUAAACAUGUCUCUACAUACCUCCUUGUUAAUAUUGAUCACCAAUGGAUGGAGCAGCAGAUUGCAUAUGGAAAAAUUGAAUCAAUGUAUUUUGCCGUUAUGUUUGGACCUUAAUUAUUUCAAAUCUCAAUCAUCCUUUUUAA
Molecule: long non-coding RNA, 554 nt
Organism: Prosopis cineraria
Lineage: Eukaryota; Viridiplantae; Streptophyta; Magnoliopsida; Fabales; Fabaceae
Exons: 3
Source: RefSeq, a predicted model, not a curated record